RNAcentral lists this small RNA (135 nucleotides) under Sinorhizobium meliloti 2011. RNAcentral's name for it is "putative ncRNA". The record is from RNAcentral. Lineage: Bacteria; Pseudomonadati; Pseudomonadota; Alphaproteobacteria; Hyphomicrobiales; Rhizobiaceae.
AGCCGGGCUGAAUGAGCAGGAGGCACGCCUCGUUACCGGCGGCAAUGUCCGGCGCCUUCUCGGCUUGCAGCAUGAGCGGCGGCGGCUGAGUAAAGGCCGACAAAACACAGAGCCCCGGAUCAGUGAUCCGGGGCU